RNAcentral lists this ribosomal RNA (605 nucleotides) under Salmonella enterica. RNAcentral describes it as "partial 23S ribosomal RNA". It matches the Rfam family "Bacterial large subunit ribosomal RNA", at positions 711 to 1229 of the family's 2925-position model. RNAcentral also lists the same sequence under 2 other names. Lineage: Bacteria; Pseudomonadati; Pseudomonadota; Gammaproteobacteria; Enterobacterales; Enterobacteriaceae. The record is from RNAcentral.
AGACCCGAAACCCGGUGAUCUAGCCAUGGGCAGGUUGAAGGUUGGGUAACACUAACUGGAGGACCGAACCGACUAAUGUUGAAAAAUUAGCGGAUGACCUGUGGCUGGGGGUGAAAGGCCAAUCAAACCGGGAGAUAGCUGGUUCUCCCCGAAAGCUAUUUAGGUAGCGCCUCGUGAAUUCAUCUCCGGGGGUAGAGCACUGUUUCGGCUAGGGGGCCAUCCCGGCUUACCAACCCGAUGCAAACUGCGAAUACCGGAGAAUGUUAUCACGGGAGACACACGGCGGGUGCUAACGUCCGUCGUGAAGAGGGAAACAACCCAGACCGCCAGCUAAGGUCCCAAAGUCAUGGUUAAGUGGGAAACGAUGUGGGAAGGCCCAGACAGCCAGGAUGUUGGCUUAGAAGCAGCCAUCAUUUAAAGAAAGCGUAAUAGCUCACUGGUCGAGUCGGCCUGCGCGGAAGAUGUAACGGGGCUAAACCAUGCACCGAAGCUGCGGCAGCGAACGUAUCACCCAAGACAACUUUACGGAGUUGACGAUUGACGGAGCGAAGCGACGUCAAAGCGUUCAUUAAAGUCGAGUUGGCUUAGGGAUACGUUCGUUGGGU